GAUGAACGCUGGCGGCGUGCCUAAUACAUGCAAGUCGAGCGAACGGACGAGAAGCUUGCUUCUCUGAUGUUAGCGGCGGACGGGUGAGUAACACGUGGAUAACCUACCUAUAAGACUGGGAUAACUUCGGGAAACCGGAGCUAAUACCGGAUAAUAUUUUGAACCGCAUGGUUCAAAAGUGAAAGACGGUCUUGCUGUCACUUAUAGAUGGAUCCGCGCUGCAUUAGCUAGUUGGUAAGGUAACGGCUUACCAAGGCAACGAUGCAUAGCCGACCUGAGAGGGUGAUCGGCCACACUGGAACUGAGACACGGUCCAGACUCCUACGGGAGGCGGCAGUAGGGAAUCUUCCGCAAUGGGCGAAAGCCUGACGGAGCAACGCCGCGUGAGUGAUGAAGGUCUUCGGAUCAUAAAACUCUGUUAUUAGGGAAGAACAUAUGUGUAAGUAACUGUGCACAUCUUGACGGUACCUAAUCAGAAAGCCACGGCUAACUACGUG
This 497-nucleotide ribosomal RNA is filed under the name uncultured bacterium. RNAcentral's name for it is "partial 16S ribosomal RNA". It matches the Rfam family "Bacterial small subunit ribosomal RNA", at positions 28 to 507 of the family's 1533-position model. The record is from RNAcentral.